CUGUAUUUGAAGGAAAAAAAUCUGAAACCUAAUAAGCUUUCAGUUCCUUAACUAACUCUCUUUUUGAACAGAUUUUCAAGUCUGCUACCCUCCUUAGAAACAGGAGAGAAAAAAAAAAGAUUGAUCAGUUCUAGCAAUCCUGGAUCUCACCUACUCUCCUCACUGCAUGUCUGGCAGUACCCAUAAGCCCCUCUUCUUAUCCCAGGCAGAAAUGACAGUCUUUCUUGGAGAUAAGAAGGGCAAGACCCUAUAUCGAGUGAACAUGGAACCACAUAAAAUGAACUUGAGUGGCUAUGGGGAUUUUCCUCUCUCGUAUACUUUUCCUCUGGACUUACAACACAGAAGUCAAAAUAAUUUUCUAACCAGGGUAGAUGUGUGACAGAGGCUGGCACAUAAGAAAAGUGCCAGACUGAAGAGUAUGCUGAUCAUCUUGAUGGAGGAGGGGCCCUAAGGGAUUGGAAUCUUGAGGAAGAGAGACUCUGGCUGGUAGAGAAGUUGGUCUCUCAGUCUUGAAAAGCUGAAGAGAGAAGAUGGAAAAAGGCUUUCUCCUGAGGGUUACCUACCUUUCCUGCUGGUGACUGGAAUUCUUUCCCCCCAACAUUUCCCAGUUGAAAAGACUAUUGAAGAGGAAGUGUGAAAAAGACAUUUUAAAUCUCUUUCCAACUUUACUUCCUGAGUCUGAACUGUGGCCAAGGGGCCAAACCCAGGGUGAGUCAACCUGACUUUCUUUCAGGUGGCUCAGGCUACCAAGGCCUGAGUUCCCCCCAAAUUCAAGGAGGGAGGGAAAAGGGUUUUAGAUAGAGACAGGGACCCCCAUUUCCCAUUUUCCUGUCCCAUUAUUUCUCUGCUAGUUAUUCUUUGUUAACCACUGGUGGAAUUGACAUUAAAAGUUAUCUGUUCCCCAAGCUGUGAAUCAAGUGUGAGUGAACAGAUCAAGGGGAAACCCUCUGGUCUCUAGUACUGGAUAGGGCGCAAGAGGGUCAAGAGCACAUCAGGGAGAGCAGCCUUAGCUAAGGAGGGAAGGCAGAACGGGGGAAAUCUUUCAAUCGCCUCUCCUCUCUCUGAGCCAACCCCUAACAUUAGCUAUCUCACAUGAAAUCCACUUUUGGAGAGUGGGUCUUCACUUGUUCUCUCUAUACUGAAAGUCUUACCCCUCUAGUACAAAUAAAUAACCCCUCAAAUACA
RNAcentral lists this long non-coding RNA (1185 nucleotides) under Monodelphis domestica (gray short-tailed opossum). RNAcentral describes it as "lncRNA (ENSMODG00000049318.1)". The record is from RNAcentral. Lineage: Eukaryota; Metazoa; Chordata; Mammalia; Didelphimorphia; Didelphidae.